UACGAAGGGGGCUAGCGUUGUUCGGAAUUACUGGGCGUAGAGCGCACGUAGGCGGAUUGUUAAGUCGGGGGUGAAAUCCUGAGGCUCAACCUCAGAACUGCCUUCGAUACUGGCGAUCUUGAGUUCGGAAGAGGUUGGUGGAACAGCUAGUGUAGAGGUGAAAUUCGUAGAUAUUAGCUAGAACACCAGUGGCGAAGGCGGCCAACUGGUCCGAUACUGACGCUGAGAUGCGAAAGCGUGGGGAGCAAACAGG
This 253-nucleotide ribosomal RNA is filed under the name uncultured bacterium. Its description in RNAcentral is "partial 16S ribosomal RNA". It matches the Rfam family "Bacterial small subunit ribosomal RNA", at positions 524 to 776 of the family's 1533-position model. The record is from RNAcentral.